RNAcentral lists this ribosomal RNA (234 nucleotides) under Clostridioides difficile. Its description in RNAcentral is "partial 23S ribosomal RNA". It matches the Rfam family "Bacterial large subunit ribosomal RNA", at positions 2322 to 2555 of the family's 2925-position model. Lineage: Bacteria; Bacillati; Bacillota; Clostridia; Peptostreptococcales; Peptostreptococcaceae. The record is from RNAcentral.
UCAGUACGGUCGGAAAUCGUACGUAGAGUGUAAAGGCAAAAGAGAGCUGGAUUGCAAGACAUACAGGUCGAGCAAGGAUGAAAAUCGGACUUAGUGAUCCGGUGGUGCUGCGUGGAAGGGCCAUCGCGCAACGGAUAAAAGCUACCCUGGGGAUAACAGGCUUAUCUCCCCCAAGAGUCCACAUCGACGGGGAGGUUUGGCACCUCGAUGUCGGCUCAUCACAUCCUGGGGCUG